Mirounga angustirostris (Northern elephant seal) is the source of this 398-nucleotide long non-coding RNA. RefSeq lists it as uncharacterized. The transcript has 4 exons. The record is from RefSeq and is a predicted model, not a curated record. NCBI's taxonomy places the organism in Eukaryota, Metazoa, Chordata, Mammalia, Carnivora, Phocidae.
GAGGGAAGAGAGGAAAGAGGUCACCCAACUCCUCCAAGUAGUAAGAAGGAGCGUCCAGACGCCGCCUAAAGAUGAAUCCUUAUAGCUGAAUGGAUCAUUACAGUUGGGUUACUACAAUUUUACUGAUCAGGACAACUUUUUGACUCACAAGUGGAAUGAAUACAAAGAGGGAUUGCAUUUUGCUAAGGGUUCUACAGGACCAUAGAAGCAGAAGAACUCAUUCUACUACUGAAAGAAGCCAUGCUUGAAUGGUCAUUACCUGUGAUGUGCCCUGGAGUUGUGUCUCAGAUCAAUGAUAGCAUUUCAUCCAUGGAUAAUAUGAGUGUAGAGAUUGUGGCCAGGAUUUCAACUAUGCAUACGAACGGGAUUUGGGUAAGCCCAAGGUAUAAUUUCUGGCU